Molecule: long non-coding RNA, 1494 nt
Organism: Polypterus senegalus (gray bichir)
Lineage: Eukaryota; Metazoa; Chordata; Cladistia; Polypteriformes; Polypteridae
Exons: 4
Source: RefSeq, a predicted model, not a curated record
UUACAUGAGAAAAUGUGUUUGUCUAGAACCACUGUAUGGUAAAGAACUGGCAUUCAGCCUGUCCUCCCUGACCUUGUCCUUGAAUGGGCGACAUAUCUUCUACUGUAGUUACCCAGCUAGGGACACUGUGUUACCAGCUGCAGCCAAGUGGUCAUUUAUUAUGUUGCCAGCCAACUGGGACCUUUUAUUCACUCUUACGACUGGGACUGUGGGCAAUUGCUGAGUAAUCGUUCUACUCUCUCCAUUGCUCUGGUGUUCCUGUCUCUUGCAUAUCCUAGAGGCCUAUUGCUUGUCACAUAUUACUGUGUGUUGCUCUUCCCCUCUCUGUGUCGGGCCGGUCCUCUUCCCCAAUGCCAAUUUGCUGGCACCAUUUUCCUAGCAAGUUAUUGUUAAGCUGGCAGCAUUUUAUAGGAGCAGCUCUAUUAAUCAAACGAUGACAGAAGAUGCACCAGCUAAAUGUAAAAUAAACAUUUAAAUUAAAAACAUAAACCACUCUCUGAUUUAUUUAGUAAUAGUUUUAGUCCCAUUCUUCUAUAAAUUUAAUUCCCUUUCACCUUUUUAGAUCUAUGAAACACUAAAAAUGUGUAAAGUGUUUUUUAACAUGAAAUUGCAACUUAUUUUAAUUAAUAAUUCAUCACAAGAUUCCAGAAUUUGUUUUAGCUAAAGCAUUUUUACGAAAAAUUUUUGCUCAGCUGAAAAAAAGAAUUGACUGGAAGAAUCAGAAACCACCUCUGCAGGCAUGUCAUCAUGAAUAAAAAUUGCAUUAUGAUAUAUUAUAACAUGGCGUUCUCAGACCUCUUUUAUCCAGUUCAGGGUUUUAUGGGGAAAAUAGUCUCUCCCUGCAGCAACAGUUACAAAGCAGGAAUAAACUGUGGACAGGGCACCAGUCCAUUACACUACAAUAUAAAGCACAUAUCCAUUCUCUCACAGGCCAGUUAAGAAUUGCCAAUUAGCCUAACAGGCAUCUCUUGGGAUGUGGCGUUAGAAACCACAGAGAUAAGGGGGAGAAUUUGCAGACAAUGUCCAGACGCAGGAUUUUAAUCCAGCAUGAGACAGCAGCACUACUGACUGUCCCACCCAUAUUAUAAGAUGUUAUGCCCUAAUCCACUUUUUGACUCAUCUUCAUUACAGAUUCAUUGGGAGUCUAUUCUGAUAACAUUUGGCAUAAGGCAUAAUCCAAGAACCAACUCUGGAUGCAUCCAAUUUAGAUAUCUCAAUUCAGCAGCUUUCUAAAGAGGUGUUUGCAUUCUGCACAGACGAGUCAACCCUGAAAUGACUGACUCAGAGAACUCUACAGCUGUUUCUCUAAGCACAGAGAGUAAAAUCUGAGCUCUCAAAUGGCACAAAGGCACACUAGAAUCACACUUGGCAAAGGGAAAAAUGAACAACUAAUGCACAAAGUAACAAAGUGAAGGUUUUGGCUAAAAUGCUGAAAUGAAUAACAGAGUCCUGCAGAGAUGAGCACCGUGAUGUCCCUACAUUAAUGGAUUAAAG